CAAGCAAUAGUUUAUAAAAACAGUAACCUUGGACGUUAAAGAUCAGAAAAAAUUCUGCUGCUUGA
Molecule: transfer RNA, 65 nt
Filed under: Yininemertes pratensis
Lineage: Eukaryota; Metazoa; Nemertea; Pilidiophora; Heteronemertea; Lineidae
Description: tRNA-Pro
Source: RNAcentral